CCAGACUCCUACGGGAGGCAGCAGUGAGGAAUAUUGGUCAAUGGACGCAAGUCUGAACCAGCCAAGUAGCGUGCAGGAUGACGGCCCUCCGGGUUGUAAACUGCUUUUAGUUGGGAAUAAAAGGGGGCUCGUGAGCCCCGUAUUGUAUGUGCCAUCAGAAAAAGGACCGGCUAAUUCCGUGCCAGCAGCCGCGGUAAUACGGAAGGUCCGGGCGUUAUCCGGAUUUAUUGGGUUUAAAGGGUGCGUAGGCGGAAUGCCAAGUCAGCGGUAAAAUCGCGGGGCUCAACCUCGCUCCGCCGUUGAAACUGGCGGGCUGGAGUUGGAGAGAAGUACGCGGAAUGCGCGGUGUAGCGGUGAAAUGCUUAGAUAUCGCGCAGAACCCCGAUUGCGAAGGCAGCGUACCGGCGCCACACUGACGCUGAGGCACGAAAGCGUGGGUAUCGAACAGGAUUAGAUACCCCAGUAAG
RNAcentral lists this ribosomal RNA (467 nucleotides) under uncultured bacterium. RNAcentral's name for it is "bacterial SSU rRNA". It matches the Rfam family "Bacterial small subunit ribosomal RNA", at positions 331 to 793 of the family's 1533-position model. The record is from RNAcentral.